CCUACGGGAGGCAGCAGUGAGGAAUAUUGGUCAAUGGACGCAAGUCUGAACCAGCCAAGUAGCGUGAAGGAUGACGGCCCUCCGGGUUGUAAACUUCUUUUAUUUGGGAAUAAAAUGAGGCUCGUGAGCCCUGUUUUGUAUAUAUCAUGAGAAUAAGUAGCAUCUAACUCCGUGACAGCAGCCGCUGUAAUACGGAGGAUCCGAGCGUUAUCCGGAUUUUUUGUGUUUAAGGGGAGCGUAGGUGUAUUGUUGAGUCAGUUGUGAAAUUUUGCGGCUCAACCGUAAAAUUGCAAUUGACACUGGCAGUCUUGAGUACAGUAGAGGUGGGCGAAAUUCGUGGUGUAGCGGUGAAAUGCUUAGAUAUCACGAAGAACUCCGAUUGCGAAGGCAGUUUACUAAACUGCAACUGACACUGAGGCUCGAAAGUGUGGGUAUCAAACAGGAUUAGAUACCCCAGUAGUC
This 462-nucleotide ribosomal RNA is filed under the name uncultured bacterium. RNAcentral's name for it is "partial 16S ribosomal RNA". It matches the Rfam family "Bacterial small subunit ribosomal RNA", at positions 338 to 795 of the family's 1533-position model. The record is from RNAcentral.